AGUGCGUAACAGAGUUAGACAAAAUUGCAAAGUCAUUAAUAAAUUAAAGAAAUAAACGAUUUCAGUGCGAUUUAAAAUAAAAAUUUGUGCAAAUAAUUGCUGUGAAUUUAUGGAAACAUUUGAAUACACAAUGUGGAAAAAAUUUAAAUUGAAUUGAGAGGUUUGUUCAAAUGUGAAAAGCAACUUUCGUAUAAAAAAGUGAAAGGAAAGUGUAAAGUGUGUAAAAGUGCUUGGAAAUUUAUUAAAUUAAUAUUGAAAGUUGCAUCAGCGUUUUGUUUGUGCGCGUGUUAAGAAAUGUGUUGUGAUAUAAAAACAAUAUUAGUGCAAGGAAAUCAUACGAAAAAGGAUUACCGGGAAGAUGCUGUUGACUAUAAGGAACGACAAAUGUAAAGGGUUCAUCGGCAGACACCGACCGAGACCUCUUGCAGUGCAUAUGAAAGUGCUAUUUGGUUGAUGUGAAGUGAAAAGUGUGAUAAAGUGAAAGUGAAGUAAGUGCAUAAAGUGAAAUUAAAUUGUGUGAAAAAAGUGUUUUCAAAUAUAAUUGGAGCGGAUGCUUUUACAAAAUGGUUGCAGAACGGCGGGGAGGAGACCUUGCGCUGAUUAGGGGUGCCACAUGCGAGCGUGUUUGCUGAUAACCCCGCGCACAGCGAUUGCACGUCAGUCCGGUCACGCCUUCUUUGCAAGGGCACUGACCGCUCAAAUGAUUGCAAGUUUUGCCGGUAGAGCCAACAGGAUGACAGUCGCAGCCUGAAAUUAAAUAAAAAGUAGUGAAAAGAAUGAUUAUUAAGUUCGUUAAACAUCUUCAAUAUGAAAAAAUUCCCCAGGAUCAUCAUGAAAAUACGGAAGCAAAGGAUGACAUUUAAGGAAUUAAGGAAUUUAAGGAAAGUUGCAAAAAGUAACUUUAGACUGGAUGGUCGUUGGGAUUGAAUACUGAAAAUACAACUGGAAAGGAUUGUGAAUCGUGCGAAUCCAAUUAACGACAGCCACAGGGAAUACAUAAAAUAUUUGCUCCAAGCUUAAAAGCACUUUAAUAAUAAAAUUAUAAUAAUAUUAUUUCUUUAUAAAUCAUGAUUCUUUAUAAAUUAUUUAUAAGUUAUUAUUAUUAUUAGUAAUAUUAUUCAAGCCAAUCAUUUGUUAAGUCCGAUUGCCGCCAACUAUGCACAAAUUUAUUAAGUUCUGUAAGAAAUUAUAAAUAGCUAUAUGAUAAAAAACUUUACCUAUUAUAAACUAUAAGACAAAUAAAAUACUUUAUAAAAAGUUAAGAAACUAAAAUCAUCGUAUGUUAAAAAAUAAUUGUAUAUGGUAAAUAGUAAGUAACUUUACCUCAAUAAACGUUUUAUAAGAC
Bactrocera neohumeralis is the source of this 1345-nucleotide long non-coding RNA. RefSeq lists it as uncharacterized. Lineage: Eukaryota; Metazoa; Arthropoda; Insecta; Diptera; Tephritidae. The record is from RefSeq and is a predicted model, not a curated record. The transcript is spliced from 6 exons.